This is a long non-coding RNA of Arvicola amphibius (Eurasian water vole), 1022 nucleotides long. RefSeq lists it as uncharacterized. Lineage: Eukaryota; Metazoa; Chordata; Mammalia; Rodentia; Cricetidae. The record is from RefSeq and is a predicted model, not a curated record. The transcript has 2 exons.
CACGGUGGGGGGGGGGAGCAGAAAGCUUACAAGAGUCAGUGUGGCAAGAGGACCCUAAGAGAAAACGUCCCUGUAAGUAAACGUGAGCAAAGCUCCAAUGAACUCACAGAGACUGAGGCAGACACAGGCCCUGCAAGGUUCUGCAACAGGGAGAAUGGCUGAUUGAUUACCCAGUAGUGACUGAAACCCUGGAACUGGCCUAAAGACUGCUCCUGGUUGAAUUUCAUAUUUCAUAUAUUGAAAUCGCCACUGCCUGAGAGACAGCUGUACCUGGCAGCAGAGGGAAGCAGUAUUUAAAGGAUAAACCCCUUCCCUUCAUACAGUCUGGCAUGAAGCUCCUACCAUCUAAAGAAUGCGGAACAACAUAAAUUCAAACAGAGAGAAUGGGCAUCAGCCUCUUCAUUUCUUCAACCUGGCCCUAUCAUUUUAACUUGAAAUCAAAACAAAACCAGGAGUAUCCAAGUAUAGGUGUUGCAGAAAAAUUUAAAAGAAAGAAAAAAAAGAAAUGAAAAAAACUUGCAACAGGAUCUGUUGUGCAGAAAUAUUAAAAAGGAGAACGAAAAAUAACCAAAAAGAAAAAAAAAACCUUUCAACAGGAACAAAAGAAUCCCAAGAAUGUAAAUAAUUCUCUUACUUUUUCAGAGAAAAAUAGGCUUGAAAAUAAAAUGGAGAAAGAGCAAGCUUGAAGAGCCAGCAGAGCCUGCAUCCAGCUUCCACCCCACGCAAGAUGUCUCUUGGCCUCCAGCUGUUGCAUCUGCUCCCUGCAGCAUCUUCUCUAGCCCUGGCAAUCUAUCCCUCAGGUCCUAUGUUGGAUAUGCCUUCCCAUGUUUUCUAUGGGCUACUGCAAAAUCACAGAAAUUUUUCUAGUCCAGUUGUCCAAAGGGCCAGUUGUGUUUAGUACCUUGCUAUGGUUUGAGCUAAUGGCUGGGAAAACUUUUUUAAAACCUGUAACUCUAGGAUGUGCAACAAUGUAUCAAAAUGAAAACGAAACAAAGCUGAAAAAAAGCAAACAGGAAACCCAA